This 85-nucleotide transfer RNA is filed under the name Aminobacterium colombiense. RNAcentral's name for it is "tRNA-Leu". It matches the Rfam family "tRNA". Rfam says of the family: Transfer RNA (tRNA) molecules are approximately 80 nucleotides in length. Their secondary structure includes four short double-helical elements and three loops (D, anti-codon, and T loops). RNAcentral also lists the same sequence under 1 other name. The record is from RNAcentral. Lineage: Bacteria; Thermotogati; Synergistota; Synergistia; Synergistales; Aminobacteriaceae.
GCGAGAGUGGCGGAAUUGGUAUACGCGCUGGACUUAGGAUCCAGUGGUUUCGGCCGUAGGGGUUCGAGUCCCCUCUCUCGCACCA